CUGCAUGGUGAUUCCCAGACAAAAGAAACAGGAUUGCAUUCAUCCUCCAACAAAGCUUGCUGUGCGCCUCCAUUUAGAAACAAUACUUUCUGAUUUUAUCACUCAUACCUGCAGCCUUCCAGGCCAGAAGUACAGUCCUUCAGAAAGCCACCCCGUUCAUCUUCCCAACCUCGCAGCCACGUGAGCUCACAUCUCAGCGACUCCCAUUCUGGUUGCUUUUCUCCCCAAGUCCAUGAGCAUCACCAUCUCCGUGGCACACCUCACAGCAUCAUCAAACCUGAAGCUUUUGGGGGUGAGAAGUAGGCCAGCCCUCAGCCAAAAUGGGGCUGCCAAUUUUGUUCGAGGGGCAGUCACUGAGGGCACUUGUGAGAAGCAAUCUUCGGGCUUUCUGGCAGUAUCUGACUGCUGAAAAGCAGUGUUACAGAGAGUAAAGAAUGACAGUAAGAGACUAGCAAAUAAUAGCUCCUCAGAAGCAAUAUUCACUGCAGAGUAAAAAGACAACUUGAGAGAGUUCUGUACAUAUUAAAGAUGCUUACCCGUGCACUGUGUGCCUAUUAACACCCUUGCUGUUAUCCAGGCAUGGCACCAAAGCUGCAUUUUCCAUAAUGUUUCACCAGCCUCUUGCAUUAAGAUGUUCAUGUCUGCAGCUCUUCCUAAGGGGGAAAACAACAGAGAGGGAAAGGUGCAACUUGGAACGAGAGGCAGUGUCACGCUACCAGUUAAAACAACAGCCACAACCUGCAAUAACCACACAAGCCCUGUACCCCCGGGUGGUGUGAGAGGAGAGCAACCACUGAUGAGAGUUUCAGGUGCUUUUUUUCUGCCCUUUCUCGGAGCGCUACGGAGCGGAGCCGGGGCUGCACGUCGCGCCGGGGCCGGCAGGCAGCGCUCAGCACCAAGCGAUGCACAGCCCCGUCCUCCCGAGGGGAGCAGCAGCUACAGGAGCAAAGAAAUCCUCUGUCUGCAGGAGGAAGAUAAAAUUUAUCAUUAAGCACAACGCUUUUAUCAUGGAUACUCUUAUUGCCCAACUUUAAACAGAAGCACCAUAAAUCUCACCAGAAAUCCACUCAUCGACAACCACUGUUUGCACACCACGAACACACAUUGACCUGCACUAAGGCUGCAGCUGGGUAACAGAAUAACACUUCACGUUGAUGCCAACUAAUAUCCAUAUGAGACUUACCUGGCAGUGGCAGGAGGAGAAGGAGGACAGGGUCCAAAACCCUCAAAGGCAACUUCUGAAACCACGCACCAGCAGCUCAGUACCUGAAGUGGCUGGAAAACAUCACUUGACUUCCAUCUUCCGUGUAAAUACGUUUUCCUUUGGAUGAAGAUGUCCCAGUCAGCCUCUGGGGAGGCAGGAAUACACCCUGUAGCCACAGCAGAAUGAGCUGAAAUGGUCACAAAAGGUCAAUGAAAUGAUUUUAUUAUAACUAAGGGCCUGGUCAUUGUGGAUACGUGGCGUUCACAAUAUUACCCCCUUGGUAACAACAGGGUAUUUUCAUGGCCCAUAAGGUACUGCAGGAUCAUUUGCAGCAGCUUUUACCCAGGUUUUCUCCUCAGAAGAAGGUUUCCCAUCCCUGAAGCACUCACUAAAGGCUCUGGGGACUGGGUUUGCCUUCCUGUGUGCGUCACAGCCAAUGUUGCUUGUUUAUAAUGUUUCCAUUUGUAAUUAUUGCACAAUUGAAUGAAGCGAGGUGCUUUGAUCACAUAAUCAUUACAUCUCCCCUGCUUUGAGGCUAACUGGGCAGCAUGACAGCAUCAGUUUUAAUCCCCAGGUGGUGCCAAUAAAAACAAGAACUUGUAGUUUAGUACAAAGCUAUCUGUGGUCUUCUAUUCCUUUAACAGCUAAUGAUAGAACAAAACUACAAAAUAUAGCAAUGAUCCCACAGCUGCAAACUACCCAUUAAAGCAACACAAGAUGUGCAAAGGAUGCCUGUCGGCACGCUCCAAGCCAAUGAAUCAUCUAAUGCCCUCCCAUAUGCACAGAGGAUUGCAGAUUUCAUUUAUUUCGCCGGUACCUGUCAGAGCUGAAGUAGAAGUGCAUUUAACAGGGGAUCAAAACCCAUCACCACUAGGAUUGGGAUGGAACCUCUUCAACUGUCAGAUUUCACAGCAGAGACUGCAUGACACUUUGGCAGGAUUUUCAUAACCCUGCCAUGUCAGAAAGUCAUAGGGCUGCUAGCUGCUUGAUCUGCAAGGCAAUUGCUAGUUGGGAAAAAUAAGUGAGGACAUCACCCAUUAUAUUCCACAAAGCACAGAACUGAAAAAUAAUAACAAGACAGAGAAUAGAUUCGGAUGGCUGAAACAGAUGGAUAUUCCCUCAGCAUAAAUGCCAAGUGUCAGUUAGACACAUCAGUUUUUUCCCUGCUGUAGGUUUUUAACAAGAGAAACAAGAAGAUUAGUAGGGUACAUACCACGAGUCUGCAAAGGUCUCUGUGAUCUCAAGUAAGGUGAGUUUACCGACAGUGCUCUCAGUGGUGUCCAGGGAGGCAUUCUCAGUUGGCAUUAAUUGGCACAGAAAGAUCAACGAAGCUGCAGUUUUUGCCUAGCUCUUUCUCUUCCAUCCUAUUUGUUUGCACAGAGGAACCGUUUAUGGACAGAUUCCUCCCUGGGAUGAUUUGUGCUAACUCCACAGUGCCUCCAGUAAACUCAUUUUUCUUGAAUCCCCUCUGGUACAGGGGCUGACGAAGGCAGUCGUGAUUCCUGGAUCUAUGCCCUUGGCAAGCUUGUGAUUAAUACCACCUCUUGGUCUUAGAGACUUGGGAUUUUAAGAACGUUGUGGUUUAAAACUGGAAUCUGCCAGACCACAGGAGCCUGAAGGACUUUCAGUUCCACUUGUUUUCUCUGUGGCAUCAGAUUAGUCUCAUUCCUACAUUAGUUUGUGCAGACUUUGUGUUCCCAAAAAGAGUCCCAUAGGGGUCCCUUGCAACCUCUUUAUACACAGAGAAUCACACUCAUGCUUUUCUGCUGCUCUCUCCUCUGACACUCCAUUUUUACUGCAUUCUCCUGCUGAUUCUUCUCCUAUAUAAACUUGAAUAAUUUAUGCUUUUUUAAUUAUUUCUUUUUCUACUAACUUUUUCACUUGUUUCUUGUUGGUAUUUGCAUUUCUCCGGUGCCGGUGUGAUCAACCCAGAGGAGGCAGGAUGGAAGUCUUGCAGCCUCAGCAUAG
RNAcentral lists this long non-coding RNA (3172 nucleotides) under Gallus gallus (chicken). RNAcentral's name for it is "lncRNA (ENSGALG00010017270.1)". The record is from RNAcentral. Lineage: Eukaryota; Metazoa; Chordata; Aves; Galliformes; Phasianidae.